AAGUCGUAACAAGGUUUCCGUAGGUGAACCUGCGGAAGGAUCAUUACUGAGGAACUUGCGUCGCUGAAUGCUGGCCUUCGGGCAUGUGCACGCGAUGCGACCUUCAUCCUUUACACCUGUGAACGUUUUAAGAAGGGAGCGACGAGAGUCGCCUCUUUCUCAUAUACAUACUACUUAAAUCGAGAACGUCUUAUACGAAAUCAUAAAACAACUUUCAACAACGGAUCUCUUGGCUCUC
Molecule: unclassified non-coding RNA, 238 nt
Filed under: air metagenome
Description: partial contains small subunit ribosomal RNA, internal transcribed spacer 1, and 5.8S ribosomal RNA
Rfam family: Eukaryotic small subunit ribosomal RNA (bases 1-46)
Source: RNAcentral